This 484-nucleotide ribosomal RNA is filed under the name uncultured bacterium. Its description in RNAcentral is "partial 16S ribosomal RNA". It matches the Rfam family "Bacterial small subunit ribosomal RNA", at positions 30 to 507 of the family's 1533-position model. The record is from RNAcentral.
AUUGAACGCUCGCGGCAGGCCUAACACAUGCAAGUCGAGCGGAUGAGUGGAGCUUGCUCCAUGAUUCAGCGGCGGACGGGUGAGUAAUGCCUAGGAAUCUGCCUGGUAGUGGGGGACAACGUUUCGAAAGGAACGCUAAUACCGCAUACGUCCUACGGGAGAAAGUGGGGGAUCUUCGGACCUCACGCUAUCAGAUGAGCCUAGGUCGGAUUAGCUAGUUGGUGAGGUAAAGGCUCACCAAGGCGACGAUCCGUAACUGGUCUGAGAGGAUGAUCAGUCACACUGGAACUGAGACACGGUCCAGACUCCUACGGGAGGCAGCAGUGGGGAAUAUUGGACAAUGGGCGAAAGCCUGAUCCAGCCAUGCCGCGUGUGUGAAGAAGGUCUUCGGAUUGUAAAGCACUUUAAGUUGGGAGGAAGGGCAGUAAGUUAAUACCUUGCUGUUUUGACGUUACCAACAGAAUAAGCACCGGCUAACUUCGUG